Molecule: long non-coding RNA, 775 nt
Filed under: Ceratitis capitata (Mediterranean fruit fly)
Lineage: Eukaryota; Metazoa; Arthropoda; Insecta; Diptera; Tephritidae
Description: uncharacterized LOC110118172, transcript variant X1
Source: RNAcentral
AAACAAUUUUCCGAUAAUUUAGCAAAUUUUGGCUUGAAGAGGUCAUAUCAAAGGGGUAGCAGAUGCGAAGAAAAUACUGAUCUCUAAAUGUACAAUAACGACGAAGUGGAGUAGAUGAAAAUAUCCAUAAGCACUGAUUGUUGCUUCGUCGUAUGCGAUUCUUUUCGAGACGAUCAUAUUACCAAUUCGACCUCUUCACUUCAUUGAAUAUCAUAAGAAUGCUUGACAUGAGCCGAUUAAGAGUUUCCAAGUUUUGAAUUUCAAUAUUUCGUAUCGUAACGCACAACGUCUGUUCGCCAGUCAACCAAACAACCAACCAAACAACCAACCAGCCGUUAGUAAACGAGACCCAGCCAGCAGUGAGCCGACGUGGCGUAUUUAGGCAGUUAGUCGAUGAGGCAGCGCAUAAAAAGUCAACUGUCGACUUCCGUCCGAGUGCCGGUCUAGUUGGCCAGCCAAUGGAAUCGCAAUAACGAUGUGUCGCUUAGGACAAUCCUGAAUGACUGAUACAUCAAUCCACAGCCUGAGCCACUGAUCAUACAGAUUUCAAACUUGGAGGGAGUAUUCGGUGUAUGAAAAUUAAAUUUAUUUUUAAAUCGCUCGAUUUACAUGGCAUUCGACUCAGAGGUAGCUCUUUGAAUAGAUUCACAUGGGUAAACUUUUCCUUCCGGAAAGUUAACUUGGGAUCGAUCUAUUCGGACAAUUAUUUAUAGCUUUUUACAACAAUAUGUGGAAACUAGGGGUUCGGUUCGAAUAAAGCUAACAAAAAAUCUUA